Molecule: non-coding RNA, 2343 nt
Organism: Gasterosteus aculeatus aculeatus (three-spined stickleback)
Lineage: Eukaryota; Metazoa; Chordata; Actinopteri; Perciformes; Gasterosteidae
Source: RefSeq, a predicted model, not a curated record
UUUUCAUGUGACACCAAUCCAUUUAACAUUAUAUCACGUUGAAUUGUCUCUUCGAUGCUGGUUUCAAUCUCCCCCCUUCACCCAUCACAGGUCCAUCCAAAAGGUAUGUCAGGUCCUCCAUGAAGAACCCUUCUUCUCCCCCACAGACACCGACAAUGAUUUAUUUAUUCCAGCCUUCACAGCCUCAACAGACACAACUAACCAACACGUUGGUUACUUAACUACUCCACGGUGCCGCUUGAUGCGAAUGGACGUAUCUGGAAAGGUCGUCACAACGUGGAGCCGCGUGACUGGUCGUCCCAGUUGGUGGUCUCCAGGGGCAACGGGGCCACGCAGGACCUGCUGGUGGUGAGCAUCACCAAUGCUCAAUGUUCAACUUACACAGGAGGGUUCAGAUGAUUAUGCAGAAGACUUUGUGGUGUUAAACGUUGCGGUGGGAUCAGCAGUGCGCUGUCCCACUGCUUCCACUGGGGGGGGCUGCUUUCAUCCUGCAGGGAGCCAGUCACACACCAGACUAGUAACUGGAUGCGAUGAACAUCGAACCCGGACUCCUUACUGUGCUUUGGGACUUUUAACAGAGGAAACCUCAGUCAGGAACUCCUCAAACACAAACAUCUAGUUACAUGCUCCACCAGAGAGGAGAACACUGCACCACUGCUACUCCACCAUAAGGGCCUUUCACCACGGUGACUCACAACCAGUCAGGGGCCUGGUGGUGCUGGUGGUGCUGGUGGUGCAGUGGUUAGCACUGUCAGGGUUUGACCCCCCCCCCCUGCUGCAAUGCUGUGGUUCACAAUCUAGUGACUGUGAGAAAAACAAGUAUGACAAAAGAUAUUUUAAAGGUUCAGUGUUAAGAAAAAAUCCAAUACAAUAAUUUGCAAAAAGAAUCAUAUAAAUCUCAUACUUUAGUCAUUUGAGGGGGCGGAAUAUUUAUUUAAAUAGGAAGUGGCCGACACCAGGAGGUUCAGAGGCUGGACAACUGAUGCUGUCUCUAUGGGCAACGUCCAUACGGUUGCCACAGCAACCGACAGCAGGGACCUGCAUUUUGUCGAUGUCUCCACGGGCAAUGUGAUCUGAGGACGUCCGUCUCGGUAAACCUCAUUGGUCCACCUCACCUGACUGGUCUCACCUUUUUUGAGGGUUUCCCGGCGUCCCGACUGCCCUUUGUUAUGAAGAUGUUCAGGGGGCUGAAUGUCGCGACCUACCGACCUGCUGAGUCAUUGAAGAUAAGACUCAACAUUUAUAUUGCUUUUUGUUUUAUUAUUUCCUAUCACGUGUGAGCUUUCUGUGAGUCCUGACAUGUCCUUGUUUCUGCAGCCCGUCUGAAAACCGUCUCGCUGCAGUUCCCCGGAUCCCUGACGAGGACCACUUCCUCUUCCCGUGGCUGCGUCCUGCUGAGCGGACCCAGGCUCGUCUGGAGGAGGGAUGCAAAGAUCCCCUGGGCUCGGCCCGGCUGACAGGAGAACGGGAGGGGUGGUGACGGUGGGGAACCUGGACCACGCUGCCCUCUCGUGCUCUGUGCCACUGAGACGGGUGGUGCUCACGGAGAAGGUAAUGAGAAGACAACCCCCCCCCCCCGACAGGUGUGGAACCUACUGAUUGGAGCCCACCACCGACUCUGAGGUCGCAGGGUCGACCUGUCUCCAUGACAACCGGCUGCUGUCCGUCGGGUGGAGCCAGCGGGUCGCUCAGUACGACAUCGCGAGGACAACGGCAGGUGCUUGGAAGUGAUAAUCAGCUGUUACAUUGAGAGCGUUGACUGGUGGCCUUGUGACCUGCACGGAGGAGUUAACGGCAUCGGCGUCGCAGGGUGAUCAUUUUGAGCGACCACACCCGUCACUGGAUCAUCAGGUGACGCCGAGCGGAGCUUCCUCGCGUCACAAGUUCCACCCGGAUGUGCCGCUGAAUCGGAGGAGUUCUCAGAAUCCCUGAGAUGGAAGAAAGCAAUUUCGCCACAUACCGGCCAAAUUAUCCACAGGCUUCACGAGGUCGCUGGCACCGAGCCGGGGAAAUGUUCAUCGCACAUUGUGAGCAGGUCCUGGAGAGCUGCUCCUCAGUUCAUAUGACAGAAGAGCAAUGAGAUGAUGAGGAGGGCCUCCAGUUAAAUAAGUGGGUUAUUUUGAGCACGUUUCAGCGGGGGAGGAAGCGAGCGCGCAGCCCUUUCGCUUCUCCGGGAUAAAUACAAACAGACACAGCCGGGACACGCGGGGCACGUUAGCUACGCCGCGCUUUGCUCCCCUGGAGCAACGCGACAGAAGACAACGCAGCAGUAAGGACACGAGACAACAGAUGAUUACAAGUCCUCGUGUUUAACCACUUUUGUGUUUAAUAAGAAAAAUGCAU